Molecule: ribosomal RNA, 168 nt
Filed under: Omobranchus fasciolatoceps
Lineage: Eukaryota; Metazoa; Chordata; Actinopteri; Blenniiformes; Blenniidae
Description: partial 12S rRNA
Source: RNAcentral
CACCGCGGUUAUACGAGAGGCCCAAGCUGACAGCCAUCGGCGUAAAGCGUGGUUAAAAUAAUAACAAAAUAAAGCCGAAUGCUCCCUCAACUGUUAUACGUUCUCGAGAGCCAGAAGACCCCUAACGAAAGUAGCUUUAAUACUAUUGAACCCACGAAAGCUAAGACA